This is a long non-coding RNA of Limulus polyphemus (Atlantic horseshoe crab), 487 nucleotides long. RefSeq lists it as uncharacterized. NCBI's taxonomy places the organism in Eukaryota, Metazoa, Arthropoda, Merostomata, Xiphosura, Limulidae. The transcript has 3 exons. The record is from RefSeq and is a predicted model, not a curated record.
ACUUCUUUCCCGCAUCGUCAAAACUAAAUUUGAUCAAGAUUGCAACUUUCAUUAACAUUGAAUUGUGGCAGAAACACAGAUCAUAUGUGAAAUCUCCAGAAGCUGGUACAAUAACUUGAAUAAGUCACAUGGAGGGGACAGAGACUAGAGAAUUAUUGUGUGACACACCAUAUACAUUGGACAUUGCCUUAACUUUAAAUGUACAGAAAUGUUUCAAAUUAUUAAAUGAAUGAAGUAAUGUGGAGGUAUAUGUAUGUAUUGAAAAAAAACCAGGAAAAUUUAAUAAUGCCAAGACAGAAAAUAAAAGCUGCUGUGAAUUUAAGGACAUUGCCAGAAAACAAAGAUUUUCAAAUCAACAAGGAAAGGAAAAAAAAUGAAAAACAGUGUCAACCAAUAUACACCUGUCCAGUUUUAUCUGACUCAACUGGGAAAAUUAUGAUAAAAUUCCAUGCAAAACCUGGCGCUAAAGAAAAUAUGAUUACAAGUA